This is a long non-coding RNA of Mustela erminea (ermine), 1346 nucleotides long. RefSeq lists it as uncharacterized. The record is from RefSeq and is a predicted model, not a curated record. The transcript has 4 exons. Lineage: Eukaryota; Metazoa; Chordata; Mammalia; Carnivora; Mustelidae.
AUAUUUAAAUCUCAAUCACCUGUUAAUCCUGUAUAUAGGCAUAUAUCUCUAUAUACAUAUGUAUGUAAAUACAUUUUUUAAGCCAAAUUCCAGACUUUAUUUGGAUUUCACCAGUUUUUCCAUCAAUACUCUUUAUGUUUCAGAAUCCAGUCCAAGGUACCACAUUGCGUUUAGUAGUUAUGUCUCCUUAGUCUUUGGUCUGUGGCAGUUUGUUGUUUUUUAUAACUUUGGUUGUCUUGAGGAGUACUGUCCUGGUUCUCUGAUGGGCAGCUUUCUGUAGACCAGAUAGGAUCAUCCAGUUCUGGGAAAAGUCUCUUGUAUUCAGGAAAAUAAGGCUGUGAAAGGAAUAACUCUUUUUGCUCUUGUUUAUGUAAUAUAUAUACAUCUAUUAUGCUUAGUAACAACAUACAACUUCAGUACUUCUUUUCAGUAACAUAUUUCUUGGGAUGCAGUUUCUUAUUUGUUGAGAUUCAGAAGAGUAUUAUAGCAUUACAGUUGUGAUCCACUAUUUUAAGAUACACUGAGUUUUUAUUUUUGUGAUGGGUAAGAGCUGGGCUGAGGUGGAGGAACAAGGGAAAAGGAGAUUGUCUGAAAGAGACAGUAGAUUAGAGAGGGACCAAGGCAAAUGGAGUGACAGAUAAUGGAGGAAGAUGAGUGAGCAGCUGCACAGAAGAGAAGCAGGAAUGAAUACUUACUGUUUGCCCACUUAUUCAGUUAAUAUUUAUUGAAUGCUUCUUGUGUGCCAGUCCCAGUACUAGUCAAGAUAUCUGAAAGUGGGGCAGCAUUAAGCCAAUAAACAUGUAGAUAAGUAUAUAAUAAUUACCACUUGUGAUGAGUACUAUAAAGAAAAAGUAAAGGAUGUUGGAGAGAGUGUGGGUGGGGGAACUGCUGCUUAUGGUUGGCUGGGUUGGUGAGGAAGGCUUCUUUGAGUAAAUGACAUUUGAACUCGUCUCUGUAACUUUUGGGGACCUUCCAUACUUACUCCACACUGUUUGUUCCAUAGUUCUCUUAUUUCACAGCACGCACACACACACAUGCCUCUUUCUCCAUAGGAACUAUGCUUAUUUCAGCUUUGUGUCUUUAUAUAUGAUUUCUUCCCAAGGUGCCCCUCUUUCUUCUGCUUGUUGAAGUACUACCUCUUGUUCAAGGAUUUGCUCGAAUCCCAUCUCUUUUAUUAAGUUUUCCACUGUUGAUUUAUGCCUCUGUUUGUCAUUCUGCUUAAGUGAAUAUGGUGUUUGAGGGUAGGAAUAAUAUUUUGUGUUUAUAUCUGUGUGUCUUCACUUAGUCCCGCACAAAGCCAGGAUUAAUAAAGGGUUGUCAAUGGGGCGCCUGGGUGGCUCAGUGGG